This is a non-coding RNA of Potamilus streckersoni, 73 nucleotides long. The record is from the annotation of a GenBank genome assembly. Lineage: Eukaryota; Metazoa; Mollusca; Bivalvia; Unionida; Unionidae.
GUUCCGAUGGCCUAGUGGUUAGAGCGCCCACCUCGGAUGCGGGAGGCCGUGGGUUCGAAACCCAGCCGAGUCA